GCCGAGGUAGCAAAGUGGUUAUGCGUUAGACUGCAGAUCUGAUGACGGGGGUUCGAAUCCCUCCCUCGGCU
RNAcentral lists this transfer RNA (71 nucleotides) under Thermococci archaeon. Its description in RNAcentral is "tRNA-Cys". It matches the Rfam family "tRNA". Rfam says of the family: Transfer RNA (tRNA) molecules are approximately 80 nucleotides in length. The record is from RNAcentral. Lineage: Archaea; Methanobacteriati; Methanobacteriota; Thermococci.